This 65-nucleotide non-coding RNA is filed under the name Mytilus galloprovincialis (Mediterranean mussel). It matches the Rfam family "Selenocysteine insertion sequence 1". From Rfam's summary of the family: The incorporation of selenocysteine into a protein sequence is directed by an in-frame UGA codon (usually a stop codon) within the coding region of the mRNA. Selenoprotein mRNAs contain a conserved secondary structure in the 3' UTR that is required for the distinction of UGA stop from UGA selenocysteine. The record is from RNAcentral. Lineage: Eukaryota; Metazoa; Mollusca; Bivalvia; Mytilida; Mytilidae.
CAUAUAAGUUAUGAUGGCAUGAUUUUAAACCCCUAAUGGGAAGGAUUGUGCCUGAUGUUCAUAUG